GUUGUGGAGACUGUUUAAAUUUUCCUUUUCUCUUUUUUUCUUCCACCUCUUUCAGUACACUCAUCUAGAAAACUGGAAAUAAGAAUGAGGGACAAAGGAAGAUGGAGGUAGAUAGUGAGCGGAGUGGUGGCUGAGAUUGGGAAUAUUCCAUAGAAUGUCCUUAAUGAAAAGAACUACCAGAAAUGAGACUUCCUUCUCCAAGAGAAAAAUGGAGUGGCCCCCUAAGAAAAAAGGGGAUGAGUCUGAGCUCUAAGGAAAGGGAAGGCAGAGGGAGGAAAGGAGAGAUCAUCCUUGGGUUCCCUAUAACUCAAAACUUGUUCCUUUUGGUAGACUAAAUCACUACCAAUACCACCCUAAUGAUUCCAUUAAGUUUACUACACAAGAAGAACUUAUCAGUUGUUCUCUGGAGAGAAAAUAUUGCAUUUUAGUGCUGCUGUUAUUAAGGAAACCUACAGAAAGAUAUGAAAUCUUUUUUUUUUUCCUUUAACAGAAAACGUUUGUAGUCAAACCAAUUUGUUAUGGAAACCCACUACAAAGACUUUAAUCUGCAAAGCCCUCCCCAUGACAUGUAAAUUUCAUUUUAUAAAAGCUGUUACUUCAGAAGCCAAACACUUGAGAAAGAAACCCCCUAUGUUGGCCAUCAUGCGCUGGUCCUUCAGACACUCCAUCAUCAUGUUAGCAGGCUUGGGCCUCCUGUGGUUUUUCAUCAAUUUGGGAACCUCAAAGAUGAAUGAAAACAUCUAUCUGCUGAGAUCUUAA
This 759-nucleotide long non-coding RNA is filed under the name Sarcophilus harrisii (Tasmanian devil). RNAcentral describes it as "lncRNA (ENSSHAG00000020926.1)". Lineage: Eukaryota; Metazoa; Chordata; Mammalia; Dasyuromorphia; Dasyuridae. The record is from RNAcentral.